GCUGUAAGACUUACUAUAAAUCAUAUACCUUUGUAUUGAGAAUGUGUUAGACUUGACUGUGAUAAAUUUAUGGUUAUGCUAGUUUAUUAGAGGACAAUUUGCUUGAAGGCGCUCUUGAGCCAAACAUUGGAAACUUGAGCCACUUAAGGAGACUGUAAGUAAAUUGGAGUAUAUUAAGUGGCACACCUUUGCUUGGAUAACACUUUUCAAAAAUCCUUUCUUUAUAUUUGUGAGCUCUCUUGAUUGUGAGAUCUGACUUUAAUCUUCCUGCUUAAAUUGGAAAGGAGUUUCUCUUUGUUUAGGAAAUGAAAAUAUACUUUGUUGAAUGUCUAUAACAUUGAGACUUGAUACUUCAGCGUUCCUAAUUCUUGGAAUUUUUUUUUUCNNNNNNNNNNNNNNNNNNNNNNNNNNNNNNNNNNNNNNNNNNNNNNNNNNNNNNNNNNNNNNNNNNNNNNNNNNNNNNNNNNNNNNNNNNNNNNNNNNNNUAGCAAUCUGACGAACUUAGAAGAUUUGUAAGUGGCAUCAUAAUAUUCUUUUUAUUUCUCAAAAUUGAAUUUCCUGUGAGCAAUUUUGAUUUAUAGGCCACUUGCAGUCGUAUAGAUGGAAGCACAUUAUCAGGCAAGAUACUUGAUUUUAUUGGCAAUUGGACCAAAAUUAGAAGAUUGUGCGUAUCUCAAUCCUUCUCAAUUAAGGCAAACAAUUAUUUAUAUGAUUUAUGAGAUACUCAAAAGUUGUUCUUAUAUUACGACAUUAAGUUUUCAGGAACAUGCAAGGCACAUCUAUGGAGGGACCUAUCCCUUCAAGCAUAUCUUUGUUGACAAACCUAACGGAGUUGUAAGCAUUUGAUCCUGUGCAAUUGUUCUUUAUCUCUUAUAAUCUUGUAAGAUUGUGUUUUAGCACAAAAAAGGUAGAAUGAAUGUCAAUGCUAAGUGAUGGAAUGGUUUUAUACGUGUCCAGGAGAAUAUCUGAUUUGAAAGGUCCAAGCUCGAAUUUUCCUGAUUUGCAGGGCAUGAAUAUGAUGAAGAUUUUGUGAGCUCAAUACAAUGAAUAUUUAAUUUUUUUUCUUUUGUUCUUUUUAUUAUAGCUACAUUUCCACUAACUAUUGUAUUUUUUUUUUCACAUCUUAGGAUUAUAAGAAAUUGCUUGCUUACUGGCUCAAUUCCAGAUUACAUUGGGGAAUGGACAUGGUUGAGGAUAUUGUAAGUUUGCUACAAUGGGGUGGAUAAUUCAUUUCUUCAUAAGGAUAAGCGUAAUAGAAGUGUCAUAACUUGUGUAUGACGCUUACUUGAGGGCUAUAAUUUUUUUUUUCACUCACUUAAGUACCAUAUAAGAGUAAAAUUGUUCAUUUGAGUGUCAUUUCAGACAAAUCAUCGUACGUGGAUUUUUUUACUUAAUUUUCCAUUAUGAUGUGGAAUUCUUAAAAAUAAAUGAGAGUUCGACGUGGCCAUUUUUGUUCACCACUCGCAUGGUCUUUCUUUUGUUUCUGAAUCACAAAUUAGGUUUUGCAUCUCUCUCUAAUCUAGGCGAGGUGGUACUGGGCGUGGGUCAUCGGAGCUCAUGGCUACUGGGAGAGGCAUAGGCAGCCGUGGUGAGGCCAGUCUUGCCAUGGCCUAGCCGGCCAUGGGCAAAGGUGGCCUUGCCCAUGGUUAUCGCCCAUGGUCAGCGUAGAAGAUGAUGAGGAUGGAUGACCUUGAGAUGGGUCACGGUUGUGCUGUCCCUGCAAACACGGUCGGCAAAGAAGAUGACGAGGGCUUGUGCCGAUUACACACCCACCCAUUUCUUCUACUUCUUCUUUAGCCCUUAGAUUAGGGUUUUAUAUUUGUUGAGUCCUAUGACACCGUUUAGCAGCUCAAAUGUUGACUUCAGGUUGUCGACAUGCUACAGAGAAGCAAAUGGACGAUAACACUUAAAUGAUCUAUUUUUUAAAUUUGUGACACUUAAAUGAGCAAAAAAAAAAAAAAGUUANNNNNNNNNNNNNNNNNNNNNNNNNNNNNNNNNNNNNNNNNNNNNNNNNNNNNNNNNNNNNNNNNNNNNNNNNNNNNNNNNNNNNNNNNNNNNNNNNNNNCCUUAUGUUUUUUAUGAAGUCCAGUGGAUCGGUUAUUAAGCACCAACAUAUUUUUGGACUUGUCCCAGCAGAGUAUUGCAUUUUUUGAGAAGAGAUUUGUUUCAUGAAUGAGAAAGGCCUCAAACUGAAGAUCAAAUUAUAUGAACUUCUGCAAGUUUUCUUGAGAAAAUUAUAUGAUUCUUCUCUUUUUUUCCAUCUUUAGGUAGAGACCUCAGCGUCAACAGAUUGACUGGUCAAGUUCCUGACAAGAUAGGAGAUGCUCUGGAUUACAUGUAAUUACAAAUUGUCUUGACCACUCCUAAUGUCUCAGCAAAUAUGUAGUUGAUUUUCCUUCCUCAUUGAUAUCAUGUACUCCUCGCAUAGUUGAAUUCCAAACAAUUCUUUCGACAACUUUUAUUUGUGAAUGUAGGUUCUUGACAAACAACUCCCUUACUGGAGCAGUACCCACUUGGGUAACAAGUAGAAAGCAAUAUCUGUUAGUCUCCUAUGAAAAUUUCCAGUUUUUCGUUCUUACUUUUCCAUACUUUUGACAUCGAUUGCAGGAUUUAACUCAUAAUUCCUAGUAUGAGACUCAUGAGUUCACAUCUGAUAUAUCACUCUCCAAUGUUGUACUAUCAUUAUUUAUGGGGGUGAAUAUGCGCACUAACUCGGUCAAGGUAUGUAACUGCAGCGACUUAACUUACAACAAUUUCACCGGUUCUUCUCCGGUCAGUUGUCAGGCAUCGCAAGUGUAAGUCAAUACACAUUCUCUCCUAAGGCAGAAAUUCUAUAGUUUUGUCUCAUCCGCACAAUUCUAGAGUUAUUAUCUAACACAUUGAAUCACUUUCUAGUAAUUUGGUUUCCAGCUAUACGUCUCACCAAAACAAAUCGUAAGUCUCUUUGACUAAGAGCUAUUCCAAUUGUUUGCAUGUGAAAAUUGUAUUGCCGACAAUCUUUGUGGUUUAUCCCUUUAGGCUUUGGUGCUUGGAGAAGGAUCUACCCUGCAGCGCGAAGGCACAAUGUGAGUUUAACAAUGCUUGAAUAGUGGGAAAAUUACCAAAAUAGUCCUAAAUCUAUUGUAAUUUUUCCAAUUCAAUUAUAAUUUUUUUUUUACCAAUUUAGUCAUAAAUCUUUUGCAAUUAUGUCAAUUUAGUUCAUUCGGUUAAAUUUGGCUGGCUAGCGCUAACGUGGAUGCCGGCCGUUCGGCCGACGUUGACAUUGCAAAUUUUUAAUAAUAUUUUAUUUUUGGGAAUUUUUUAUUAAUUUUUCUUUUUUUUUUCUUUCUUCUUCUUCUUCUUUCUGGUCGGUCACUGGACCGGCCAAAGGCCAUGGCUGGUGAGCUCACCCUCAGCUAGAUCUGGCGACAGCGAGCUCGCCUAGCGCUGCAUUGGCGAGGCCCGCCCUUGCCUAGUGUUGCAAGGGCGAGGGCAAGCUUGCCCACGAUGGCAAGGCCUCGCCAUUUGCUGGCAACAUCUCCCCUUGAAUUAUUGUUGAGCAUAAACUGUUGAGCUACUUUUGGCCCCUAUCAUGUCUUAUGUAAUAUCAUCCGACGACCUAUGCAGACUCUUCCUUGUUUAUCAAUUGUGGAGGAAACAAAACGAUUAUUGACGGGAAUCAAUAUGAAGAGGACACCCGUCUGAACGGGCCAUCAUUUUUCUCCACUUCUUCUUUUUGGCCAGAACAGUGGGCUUCCAGCACCACAGGGGUUUAUAUGGGAAAUGAUGAUAAUGAUUACACAGCGGAAUACCCCUAUAUUAUGAAUGUGAACGGCACAGGAUUGUACCAAACGGCUCGCCUUUCCCCUUGGUCGAUCAGAUACUAUGGCCUUUGCAUGAUGAAAGGACGUUACAAAGUGCGGCUCCAUUUUGCUGAACUUCAAUUUCCCGACGACGAAACAUAUAACAGCCUCGGGAAACGUAUAUUCGAUGUAUCGAUACAAGUAAGUGAAGUGAAAUUUGACAGCUGGUUAUUAUUUUAAUUUCAUCUAUUUUGUCGAGUUAUCGCCUUUUGUUAAGGUAUUUGACUUGGGAAAUUGUUAUUAUGACUUGGUGUGUGAUAGGGCUGCACACAACAGUCCGACAAGAGCAUGAUCUUUUCUUACCGAAAUUCUUGUUAAUUCUGCAGGGCAAUCAAGUGUUGAAAGAUUUUAAUAUUGCAGAGGAAGCGGGAGGUGUUGGGACGAGAAUCGAUAAGGACUUUGAUGAUAUUUAUGUUACUGGCAGUACUUUGGAGAUUCAUUUAUAUUGGUCAGGGAAGGGAACCACAGCCAUUCCUGAUAGAGGUAUCUAUGGACCACUUAUUUGCGGCAUUGCAGUGACACCGAGUAAGUCAACAUUGACGUAGAGAUCUAUAUUAUUCUUUCCUCACGUGGUCAUUGAAGCAUUCAUGUAUAAAUCUAUCAUUUUUUUCCUACUCUUAGACCAAGAUUUUGGAAGCAUUGGACUAUCAGUUGGAGGAAGCACUGGACUAUCAGUUGGAGCAAUCACUGGAAUUGUAGUAGCUUUGGUGGUUCUCCUUGUAUUGAUAAUAUUGGUCCUUUGGCUAAGAGGAUUCUUAGAUUUUAGAGACAUUGAAGAUCGAGGUGAGGUCAUACUGACUUGUUUGCUCAUGCAAGAAUCUAUCUCUUAUUGAUUCAUCACACAAGUAUAAUGCUUAAUUCAAGACUGUAUUUAUCUGCUUUCUUUGUACUUUUUUGUGGAAUUCUUACAAGUAAAUUGUGACCACAAAAGUCGCCAUUUUUUUCAUUUAACUAGGAUUGCAUGUCUAUGAGGCAUGACCAUAUGGGUAAAUUCCUCCUCAGGUUGAGUGUCUGUUGUAGAACUGUCUUUUUUUCAAUUAUUAUUAUUGCAUUCCUAUUAUAUACCAUGAUUUUUAUUUUAUUUUUUAGAAUUACAUGGGCUAGAUAUCCAAAUCGGCCAUUUCACUUUAAGGCAAAUCAAAGCUGCUACAGGCAAUUUCAACUCUGUGAAUAAGAUAGGUGAAGGAGGGUUUGGCCCAGUUUACAAGGUGAUUCACAAUAUUUUCAUAUCUUCAUUCUCCNNNNNNNNNNNNNNNNNNNNNNNNNNNNNNNNNNNNNNNNNNNNNNNNNNNNNNNNNNNNNNNNNNNNNNNNNNNNNNNNNNNNNNNNNNNNNNNNNNNNCUUUAUCGACUUGUUAGUAAGCAGCUUUCUUCUAGAUCAAAGCAAGGUAAUCGUGAAUUUCUCAAUGAGAUAGGCAUGAUAUCCGCUCUCCAGCACCCAAAUCUCGUAAAGCUUUACGGCUGCUGCAUUGAAGGAAAUCAGUUGUUACUAGUUUACGAAUAUUUGGAGAACAAUAGUCUUGCCCGAGCACUUUUUGGUAAAGGAUGCUUUCCCUAAGCUAGCUAAUAUCCUAUUAAUGGGCAUUCAACUAAACCCUCUCUCUUCCCAGGACGAGAUGAUCAACAGAUUGAGUUGGACUGGGCCACGAGAAAGAAAAUAUGUUUGGGAAUAGCUAGGGGAUUGGCUUACCUUCAUCAGGAAUCUAGGUUGAAAAUUGUUCAUAGGGACAUAAAAGCGGCAAAUGUGCUACUUGAUAAGGAACUAAAUGCCAAGAUCUCAGAUUUUGGUUUGGCCAAACUCAAUGAAGAAGACAAUACGCACAUCAGCACAAGAAUAGCUGGAACAAUGUAAGUCUUUUGUUAUUUUGGUUAAUUCUCUUCUUUUAAUUAACUUUAUCUAAUGAGCUUUUGAUUGCUACAUAUCUGUGAUGUGUUAGCUGAUGUCCUCUUUUUAUGGCCAUACUCACCAUUACUAUCUUGUCUUGCCUCAGAGGUUAUAUGGCUCCUGAAUAUGCUCUGAGGGGCCACUUGACAGACAAAGCCGAUGUUUACAGCUUUGGAGUUGUCGCUUUGGAAACUGUCAGCGGAAAGAGCAACACAAAUUAUAGGUCGAAGAAGAUUCUGUUUAUCUCCUUGAUUGGGUAACGUAUGGCGACCUUAAGUCUUAUAGAAAUUAUGCAGCCAAGCUUUCACUGGACUUAAAGCUCUCUUUCUCUACUUUCUGCUGGUUUGCUUUUGGGACUUGCAAGUAGAAUGAUGGCAUGUGACUUCAUAACUAAAUGAUGGAACAAGCUAUUGGGAACAAAUUCGAUCAGAGUAAAUAAAUAUAUGAAGGAAUAAUUUCUUUGAAGGACUUCUCCCUAAAAGGAAAAAGAAAAGAUGGGUUAGAAGCUUAGAACGUUGAUACGUAUGCAUGAGCAGGCUCAUCGGUGGAGAACAUAAAUGCAUGAACAUGAUGGGAUUCCAUCUUGAUUGUUCCUAAAUCUGUUUUCUGUUUCUAAAAGCAUGAUAACCGACUAAUCUUCUAUUUCUUUUUGUACAUGAUGAAAGGCCCAUGGGUUGCAAAAGCAAGGGCACGUUCUUGAACUCAUGGAUCCACGUCUUGGCUCAUAUUACUCCGAGGAAGAGGCAAUGGGAAUACUCAACCUGGCACUUCUAUGCACCAAUCCUACACCAACUCUUAGGCCACCAAUGUCAUCUGUGGUGAGCAUGCUCGAAGGAAAAAGCCCGUUGCCAGCACAGAUAAUCAAGUGCACCGCAACAAAUCCAGAUCCUAGGUUCAGAGCCUUCGAGAGUCUAGCUAAUGAUAGUCAAACAAAUGUCUCGACAUUCUCUGAGGACAAUGACCAAGUGCAGGGAAGCAUGUCCAUACCAGGUCCAGGGAUUGACUCUUCAGCUUAUUUCACGAGUAAGGACGAAAGCCAUUCUUCAGAGAUCACGCUUCUCUCAGCUUCUUAGGACUCAGAUUCGUUCAGUAAUUAUUAUCUGUUAAUCAUUUAUUCUAUCCAAUAGUGUAAAGGAAUUAGAUGGCGGAAAUAUAGGGGAUAAGAAUAUGGCUGAAGGAUGUUGUACAACCACGUUAUUGUCCGUCCAAGCCCUCGCAUGAGUAUAGAUCCUGUGCUGGCCUUUAGGCACAAUGUCUGGCUUCAUCUGGGUAACUCUCAAUUGUUUGAAUUUUCCCUACUUUGAAUUUUUUGGUAUAGUAUGUGCAUCAUAAAUUCACCAUUUUUCGUCCACGAAAAAUCCAACACGAGAGCACUUUGUUCCCUUUAUCGUUUUACAUCGAUUUGAUACUAUAAAAGCACCUAAGAUCUCGAACACAGCUUAAAAAAUGUCUAGUUACUAAGCUCACAGUUAGGAAAUUGUAGAUUUAUUGAUUUUAGGCAUUGUCUAUUGUGUACUCCCAACAAAAGUACACUAAUAGAAGUUGACCUCUUAAAAAAAAAAGUCAUUAGCAUGACUUCAUGUAAUCUUCAACUCAUUUUAAUCGGUGACUUAUUGAAAACUCAAAAUCCCUAAAUUUUCACAUUUUUGAUGAAGCUCAGGAAAUGAACAAAACAUUGAUGAGGCCAUUUUCUUCUCAUUACUAUGAUUCCAUGGGGUUGCAGUACGGUUUAGGAUGGAAAAAGUUCAUGGAUGGACGUAGGUGAAGCCCAUCAAGGUCACGGAGAAGCAGAAAAAAUAAUAUAGUAAAAAGCCAUGAGAACGUGUGCCUAGUAUAAAUCAGACGGCUACUGUUCACUAAAUCCACAUGCCUUUAGUUUGGACAGUGAGAAGGAAAAGCAGAAUCAUAAUUGUAAGGCAACAGCUUAUCGUGAACCUUUCUGGGUGAAAAGAUAACACCAAGUUCAUGAUCUAGGCAAAUUAUUGUGGAACCUAUCUUACUGGUUCAUGGACCAAAUGAAGACAAAAACAAUCUGAUCUUUUCACUUUCCAAAAGAAUUUCUCCAACUGCCACUGCCUAGCGAGCACCCUUAACGCUUCCAAUCAUUGAAGAGUGGUAAGUAAUUCUGCAAUGGAUAAAUCUGAAGCUUCCCAGAAUGGUUGUUUUGAUGCUUCUUGCAGAAAUGAGCCAAAGAUUCAGACUUCAACCUCACUUGAUUAAGAACUCCUUACACAAAUUUGCAAUGGAUGGGGCUGACAGGAUAAUGAAGGAUGGAAAUCUCAGAAAUUCGGCUCAUCUAACGUGGUCCACUGAGAUCUUUCUGGGGAAAAUGUGAAGUUCAACCCCCUUAAUUCUGGUGUGAAUGGUCAUGAGCAAGCAACAGAAAAUGCAGUUUAGAGUGCAAAAGAUGAAGCAGGCUUCACUAGCAAAUGCUGAGGCACAAGUUAAACCAUAUUGAAGGAGAGAUUUAAAUCAAAUAAAUGGAAGAACGACCAAAUAUAAGUGGCACCCUCAAGUGUAAAAUACAGAGGAUGCUCGAUCAGUAGGUAAUGCUGAAUUGCUCCAUAACACUAUAAUUUUCUUGGCAGUUCUGAUCAUUAAGUUUGCCGCAAUGCAAAUGAGACUUAUGACUAGAUUCUAGGCGUUUCCAAUCUGGCUUUCAUACCACUCCCUUCGUGUUUUUGCUGUCUCCACUUCAAACGCUGGAUCACAUCCAGGCAUCCCUCAAGAAAAAAUUACUGAAGAUAUGCAAAGUAACAAUAGCAGGAGUCACAUUUCUGAUAUCAAAGUGGCUGAGUGACAGUAAAAGAAACCUGCAUUCGGCAUUGAGAUUUUGUUGGGCCCUAUGCUGCUCAAUCUAUGUCUUCCUCAUGCUUCUCGGAUUAAUAAUCCCAGGGCUUGUUAUGGGUGGUUUUGCAAUGAAACACUAGGUGACCAAACCAAUUCAGACAGCAGAGACCCUGAAUUUAGUUUACACUAAACCUAACCUUGUAGAUUCGGACAUCUCAAAGUCAAUUGUAGUAAUUUCUUAUUUAUUUUCGAUCUUGUGAAAUGUGCAGAGACGCAAAGUCCUCAAGAGAUGCAGCUCUACGAUACCUCAAUAAUUUCAAUGAAAAACUAUCAAGGUGAUUCGACUUGUUUAUUUAUAUGUUAUUCUGAUUGUUGUUUGAUAGGUUGAGCGCUUAGAGGUACGAGUAAAUAAAGCUUUGUAGAGUCAACUUUUCUGUACGUUCAUGUCAUUUCCUAAACCUAUCUUGCACAUCCCAUUUGUUUAGCUUAUCCAUUUGAAUAAUUGUGAAAUGUCCAUGUUCCAUCUGUAUAAUGUAUUUUAAUUUUAAAAUUGGUUCAUGUAUUAUUUUGAUGAUAAAAACUUUAUUUGCAUUGUUAUAUGGAGCUCCUUUUUAGCAGUUAGGUGGUUGAGAUUAAGUCAAAGAUUAAUCAAGUGCGCCCAGAUUUUGAAGAAAAUGGGUAAAUUUAAUAAGUUAUACAUGUAAUUAAUAAUGUUAACUUUUGCUCCAAUACAAUAUUUAUUAUGAUGAAUAUGUGCUUUUGCAAACAAUGAUUGAUAGAUGCAGUCCAAAUCCGCUCUAGAGAGGUAAGUGAGGAACCAUACUUAAUAAAUCGACCUCAAUAACAUAGUUUUGCCUCGGAUAGGAUUUUACUUGAUUUGACAAAGAUGUUUAGUACAAAAACAAAUUGAAGAGGGUCAGUGAGAAGCUGAAACUUGCUAAGGAGUUUUCGAAUUACAAAACUUCUCUUGAUCAGCUUUAUGACGGCAACUUCAUUUUAUUAGCUCGGUAAUUUUAUGAGUUUUUCCCAACAUGACGGUCUCGGUUAGUGUUAUAUCUGACUCGGUCAUGUUACUUUUUCAUAAGUGUGUUUCGUAAAUUCCAAGAGAAGAUGCAAAUCUUCUUGGCACAUGUUGUAAAUUAAGAAAGAAGAAGAAGGAUUUGCUGGAACAGUUGAUGAUCACAAUAAGGAAGUGAAUGAAUGAGAACAUCAAAAGGAGGAAAAUGGUAAUCUAAUGGUUUAAGAUACCGAUUAUGUUUUUGGAGUCGUUAGAUGCAUGUUCACCACAUUAUUUUAUUUUUUUUCGAAAUGCAAGUCAAUGAUGAUAUGAGGGUUUCGGCGAAGUUGAUGCGACGGUGUCAAAGGAUGAAAGGCGUCAGGAUCCCAUAACCACAAUAUUGACAUCAUAGGUCGUGCCCUUCUGAGCAGUUUUAAGCUAAUUAGUUGUUUUUAGUGGACCAUUCAACUUUUUUUGGAACACAUUGUUGGAUAUUAAAAUUUUUUGAUCGGGUUGCAAAUGCCCUUCUCACUGAGUUUGCUUGUUUUUGGGAACACUUAGAAUAUCUUGCAUAUGCAAUGACUACCUUGGCUUGUAUAAAUAUUUGAUUCAAGGGCAAACAGUCAUUGGCUUAUGCAAGAUUAUCUAACUGUUUCCAUAAACAAGCUGAACUCGGUGGCAAGGGUAUUUGCAACCCAAUCAAAUUUUUCUAUAUCCAAUAAUGUUCCCAGAAAAAGAAGCUGAAUGGUUCCUAAAAAUAACUAUUAAGCUUUAAACUGCUUAGCGAGGAGCGAGUGACCUAUGAUGUUGAGGUUGUGGUUGUGGGAUCCUAAGGCUUUUCAUCCUUUGGCAUUGUGGUAUCUUGAACCAUUAGAUUACUAUUUUCCCCUUUAAUAUUCUCGUUUACUUCCUUGACAUGAUCAUUAACUGUUCCCAGCACAUCCUUCUACUUCUUUCUUAAUUUAAAAUCUGUGCCAACAAGAUUUGCACGUCCUACUGAAAUUCACGAAAUGCAUAUAUAAAAAAGUACACGGUCAACAUAACCUAAUUAUCGAAAUAACCAAUAAAGUUACCACCAUAAAGCGGAUUGGAGUUUUUGUAAUUUAAAAACUACUCAUAGAGUUUGUUCAGCUUCGUCCCUCUUUAACCUGUUUUUGUACUACAUAUCAUCAUCAAAUCAAGUAAAAUCAUUUUUAAGGCAAAACCACAUUAACGAAGUCAACUAAUUCAAUACGAUACUUUACUUAUUUCUACAGAGUGACUUUGGAUAUAAACGUUAAAAACAUGUUCUUUGGAUAUAAACAUUGUAUUGAAGCAAAAGGUAACAUUACUAAUUGCAUGAAUAACUUAUUAAAUUUACCCAUUUUCUUCAAAGUCUAAGCACACUUGAUUGAUCUUGGAUUUGAUCUAAGCCGUCUUGCAGCAAAACAAAGGUUUAAUAUAUUGAUGCAUAUAAAUUUUUUAUUAUCAAAAUAAAACAUGAACCGACGUAAUUAAAUGAAAGAAUUUAUAUGGAUUGAACAUUGAUAUGUCACGGUUAUUUAGAUAUAUAAGUCAUGAAUAAGCUAACAAGUGGGAUCUGCAACAUAAAUCUAAAAAAUGAUGUGAACGCACAAAAGAAUUCAGACCCUUUCCGAAUUUCAUCCAUUCAAACCUCUUAAGAGCUCAACCUAUCGGACAACAAUCAACAAAUUAUGUUUAAAAAAAAAUGAAACAAGUCGAAUCACCUUGAUAUUGAGGUAUCAUAGAGUUGCUUCUCUCGAGAGCUGUACGUCACUGCACAUUUCACUAGACAAAAAGUGAAUCGGUAAUUACUAUAAUCGACAUGGAGAUGUCCAAAUCAACUUAUAGCUUCAUCCUCUUUAUUUCCCUCUCAUUCGUCAUGGAAGUCAUUGUGGGAUAUUCUGCACUUUUCCUGAAAUAAAUACAAAAAAAAAAAAAAAAAACUAAAGGCAUUGUAUCAAAAUUUAAAACAAACUAGUAAGUCAAGAAGCUGAAAUUGAUAACUUGGUUCAUCAAUUCAUCUUCGUGUAAAUUACAACAAUACGCAAGAUUAUUUGAGAAUCAGUCACAUUCGAAGCCAAAGCAGAAGCGACUAGACCCAAAGUGCAAGCAAAUCAAUUACAACGAGAAAAUUCUACGAGAAAAUUGAAGAAGCUUCUCGUUCCAAAACAACUCUAACAUGAAAUGAAUUAGGUCCAAAAGCGUGCAUAUUGAUUACAGCAAGAAAAUCGAAGAAGCUUCUCAUUCCAAAAAAACCCUAAUAUGAAGUGAAUAGACCCAGAAGCAUGCACAUAAAUUACAGUGAGAAAAUCGAAGAAGCUUCUCAUUCCGAAACAACCCUAAGAUGAAACAAAUAGUCCUCGAAGCCUGCACAUCAAUCAUAGCAAGAAAACAAAGAAGCUUCUCAUUCCACUAGCAUGAAACGAAUAGUGUGCACAUUACUAGGAGAAAAUCGAAAAAGCCUCUCAUUCUAAAACAACUCUAAUGUGAAACGAAUAGAACCAGAUGUGUGUACAUUGAUUACAGCAAGAUAAUUGAAGCUUCUCGUUCCAAAACAACUCUAAUAUGAAAUGAAUAGACACAAAAGCGCGUUAUUACAAAGAUGAAGCGAGAAAAGAACUCACUGGAUAACUGGCUUCGGUUAGAGCGAGAGAGGGACUGCGAAAUCUUGAGUCAAGAGAGGGUGCGGGGGAGAGAGGGCGAAGAGGCGAGUGAAGGGCAAACAAGGUGUAGGCAAGAGAGCGAGAAGGUAAUAUAUUUUGAAACUGCUUUUGAAUUUUUUAUAGGAAAGUAGAAUUUUAAGAACGUCCUCAAAUGAGACCAAAAAUUAAACAGUUGAGGAAUAAGAUGACAAUGUCCAUAAUGAGAGAUGGCGGCUAGAAGGUGAGCUCUAGACGAAUAGAGCUACGCCAGCCGCCUUGGUGCCUCCGAGCCAAGAUCCUCGGGGAUAAGGGAGGUUUGAACCAAAACAGAAACUCACCGGGAACAACGGGCUUUUGGGAGCGAGGAGUAGUGUGUUCGUGGGGGUCAGCUAGAGGUCGUCGGAGGGGAUUCGGGCAUGACCGGACUACUAGGGAACCCUCUCGAGCUCCUCCCUCGAGCUCUUCAAAAAAGUCCCGGCGAGCAGCCCGCGAGAACGCUCGCCCUUCUCCCUCUCUCUCUCUCGGUUGCUCCUUUUUCCUCUGUUCCUCUCGCCCACGCCUUCAGCCAAGCCCCCCACGAAGCCUGCAGAACAGUGGAAGGAGAAGGCCUUUACUUUGCUUCCCUGGCCAAAACCCAAGAUGGUGGUCUCUCGCCCUCUCCCACUUUUUAAGCCGUCCGGCGCUCAUGGCGUGCCUCCUGCGACGCCAGCUGUUGCUGCCGGUCCGCCUCCGACCACCAGCUCCGGUGCGGAGCACGCCCUGCUUCCCCUGCUACUGUUCGGUAACCUGUCCUCCGUCCUUGCUUCCCCGUUUGUCGUCGAGCCAACGGUCAAAGUGGAGAGAAGGAGAAAAGAAGAGGAGAGGGCCGGGCCGGGCCGGGCCGGGGAAAAAGGAAAAAAAAGAAGUGGGCUGGGCCGGCCCUGAGGGAAAAAAAAAAGGGAAUGCUGCGGUUUUUCUAAUUAUUUUUUUAAAAUUAAAAUUUUAACAUUUUUUAAGAUUUUUAAUAUUAGCAAUACAACUGUUCCUAAUUUCUAUAUGGGAUGCAAUUUAAUGAAAACGUGAUGCAUUUUAAUGAAAAUUCUUUACUUUACUUUUUACUUUUUUUAAGAUAAAUCCAUAAUUUUCUAUGCAAUUAAAUCUUUAAUAAAAAUGGCAAAAUUUAGGUGUCAACAAACAUGUCAAAAAACAUCUAGAAUAUGGUAAAGUUAUAUCAUGGGUUUUUAGCUUUUCCAUUAAAACCUAAUCAUUCAAAAGAAGUCUUAACUCAGUCGGUGCAUAUGAAAUUUGACAUGCAAGCACUCUAGACAUGCACAAUCCUAUCCAAAAAUUUCAGUUUGGUUUUUAGCAUAGCCAUCUUCGAAUUCCCCACAUUCGGUAGUCAAACUCAUAUCAUCCUUUCUAAAGAGAGGAGGCAUUCUAUAGCUAAUAAAUACAUCGAAAAAGAGUGGAGCACGAAAUGGGAAAAAGAAAAGCCAUUGAUAUCAAAUGCAAGCGGUUCCGCACUACUUCUAUACAAAAUACAUAAUUUACUUGUAUAUGUAGAUAUGUGAUCAAACAGACAUAUGGGGUCUCAUACAUACCCGGAAUGAAAAUGUGUUUUUGGUGCAUCGCUCAUUUGGUUACUUCGGUAAUAUACUUAUCUUUCCAAAGAUGCUUUUGUUAAAUUUAAAGAGGAAAAUAAAAAGUUGUCUACACUAGUUAAAGAAUCAAGAGAGAAGGAAAAGGCUUUGGUGGCAGCAAUUGGGGAAAACAUUAAUGAAGCCAAUGAAUACAUAAGAAUGAGGAAACGGGUGAACGGGUGAUUUAAUGUUUCAAGAAAUUUUUGGAAUCUUGGUGCAUGUUCAGAUGAGGACAUUCUUUUUUUCGAAAUGCAGGGCCAUGAAUAUAUGAGGAAAUUGACAAAGAUUUUCAACUCAUGAAAGAUUAGGACUAAAUUUUUCACUGGAUGAUGGUUUGGAGACGGUUUCCAUGUUGAUUCUCAAUAGAUGAAUCAACAUGAUCAAUGAAUCGGAAGAAAUAAAGCGAAUGGGACAUACCUGAACAAGAUAGCAUCGGGUUUGAACGAUUCAAAAAUCCAAUAAGACCUGAACACAAGAGAGCACUGCAUUUUAGGGUUUGAGCAAUUCGAAUUUCGAAGAUGCAGGAUUACUUUAUGCAUCCCUCAACAAAUAAAUCAACACAAUCAGUGAAUCGGAAGAAAUAAAGUGAAUGGGAUGUACUUGAAUAAGAUAGCACCGGGUUUGAGCGAUUCAAGAAUCAAAGAAGACCUGAACACAAGAGAGCAAUGCACUUUAGGGUUUAAGCAAUUCAAAUUUCGAAGAAGUAGGAUUACUUUAUGCAUGUGCGAAUCAACAGAAGACAAUGAGGAGGUACGACACGAAUCGCCGGCUAUGAAUCGUGAUGGUGGCGAUUGAAGAGGGAACACCCUCCGAACUAUUGUGGUAAACCGAGACUCUGAGUGUAUGUCAUGAUUUUGCUCAAGCUUCUAUUCCGUCACGUACUUUGUUUCUUCAAGUAGAGUACGAGAGUGGGAGAGAGGGGGGGCUCUUUGGGGCUUAAAAAGUGAAUUUUGAGUGAUGGGCUUGAGCCCAUAGGCCAGUUACGUAGGAGCUAGGUUUUCUUCUAUUCUGGCUGGCUGAAAUCGUCAAUAUGCGAGAUGGGCUUCACACGCAUUUAUUCAUUUUUUGGUCCUUUUACUAUUAUUCACUUCUUCUUUUCACAUGUUACGCAUCGAGCAACUCCAAAAGCGCUAGUCAUAUCUAGAACCAUUAAAUUACCAUUAUCUUCCCUUUGAUGUUGUCAUUCAAUCACUCAAUUUGAUCAUGAAUUGUUGCCAGCUUAUCCUUCUCAUUCAUUCUUAAUUCGACAAGCUAUGCCAAGAAAUUUUGCUUCUCAGCUUGGAACUUACGAAAUUCAUCUAUGCAAAAAUAGAUGACCAAAAUAAUCAAAUCAAUUGUACCACUAGCUUAUUGAGAAAAACUCAUAAACUUAAGGGACUAACAAAUAAAGUUACCUCCAUAAAUCUCAUCACAAGAGGUUUUGUAAUUGCAUAAAUAUUGAUAUAGUUUGUUGAGGUUCUCGUUCUCGUUCUUCAAUUUCUUCUCGUAUUGCAUAAUAUCAUCAAAUCAAAUAAUAUCCCAUAUUAUCGAAGUCGACUAAUUCAAUACAAUUCCUCGCUUAUAUCUGCAACAUGAUGUCGAAAUUCCUUCAACAAUUGUUGUCUAAAGGGAAAAAAACAUAUUAAUUAGAUAUAAGUAUUAUGUUGAAGCAAAAAUUAACAAUACUACUUAUAUGUAUCACUUGUUAAACUUACCAAUUCUGUUCAAUCUCUAAGCUCACGUGAUUAAUCUUGGCCUUAACUUCAGCGAUCCCGCCGCAAAAGAUGAGUACAAUAAAAUAA
This 15558-nucleotide long non-coding RNA is filed under the name Eucalyptus grandis. Its description in RNAcentral is "long non-coding RNA (EGRA_LNC000505)". The record is from RNAcentral. Lineage: Eukaryota; Viridiplantae; Streptophyta; Magnoliopsida; Myrtales; Myrtaceae.